This 305-nucleotide ribosomal RNA is filed under the name uncultured bacterium. RNAcentral's name for it is "bacterial SSU rRNA". It matches the Rfam family "Bacterial small subunit ribosomal RNA", at positions 336 to 638 of the family's 1533-position model. The record is from RNAcentral.
UUCCUACGGGGGCAGCAGUGAGGAAUAUUGGUCAAUGGGCGGAAGCCUGAACCAGCCAAGUCGCGUGAGGGAAUAAGGCCCUACGGGUCGUAAACCUCUUUUGCCGGGGAGCAAGGGCGGGGACGUGUCCCGGCCCGGAGAGUACCCGGAGAAAAAGCAUCGGCUAACUCCGUGCCAGCAGCCGCGGUAAUACGUAGGGGGCAAGCGUUAUCCGGAUUUACUGGGUGUAAAGGGAGCGUAGACGGCAGCGCAAGUCUGGAGUGAAAUCCCAUGGCUUAACCAUGGAACUGCUUUGGAAACUGUGC